Molecule: ribosomal RNA, 334 nt
Filed under: uncultured bacterium
Lineage: Bacteria
Description: bacterial SSU rRNA
Rfam family: Bacterial small subunit ribosomal RNA
Source: RNAcentral
CAUGGCUCAGGACGAACGCUGGCGGCGUGCCUAAUACAUGCAAGUAGAACGCUGAAGGAGGAGCUUGCUCUUCUGGAUGAGUUGCGAACGGGUGAGUAACGCGUAGGUAACCUGCCUGGUAGCGGGGGAUAACUAUUGGAAACGAUAGCUAAUACCGCAUAACAACAGUUGUUGCAUGACAGCUGUUUAAAAGGUGCAAUUGCAUCACUACCAGAUGGACCUGCGUUGUAUUAGCUAGUUGGUGGGGUAACGGCUCACCAAGGCAACGAUACAUAGCCGACCUGAGAGGGUGAUCGGCCACACUGGGACUGAGACACGGCCCAGACUCCUACGG